This 95-nucleotide ribosomal RNA is filed under the name Acinetobacter baumannii. RNAcentral describes it as "partial 16S ribosomal RNA". It matches the Rfam family "Bacterial small subunit ribosomal RNA", at positions 1 to 92 of the family's 1533-position model. Lineage: Bacteria; Pseudomonadati; Pseudomonadota; Gammaproteobacteria; Moraxellales; Moraxellaceae. The record is from RNAcentral.
UUUAACUGAAGAGUUUGAUCAUGGCUCAGAUUGAACGCUGGCGGCAGGCUUAACACAUGCAAGUCGAGCGGGGGAAGGUAGCUUGCUACCGGACC